Molecule: small RNA, 607 nt
Filed under: Arabidopsis thaliana (thale cress)
Lineage: Eukaryota; Viridiplantae; Streptophyta; Magnoliopsida; Brassicales; Brassicaceae
Description: ATSL045790
Source: RNAcentral
UAUUUGAUUUAUGAUGUAAUUUUUUAGUUUAAUAAGGGUAUUUUAGUAAUUUACAAUUUUUUACUAUGCAUCAUCUAAAAUCAUCUGAAUGCAUCUUAUAAAAUAGACAUUUUUUGGAUGAGUCUGAGAAACGCAUCUGGAUACUCCACCCAACUUAUAUGCAAAAUUGUACUGAAACGAACAUCAAUUUGCAUCUACGGCUAGUUGCAUCAGUGAGAUGAGCAAACGAACAUGACCAUAUAUGAAAGUUGUCUUUUCUUUAACAAACUAAAAACCAGCUUGUAAGGAAAGAAAAGAAUGUAAAAUAAAGAAGGUUGCUCAGAUUCUUGCUGAAAAGGUUGAAAAAUAUCAAAACAGAUAAGAAUGAAACAGAUUAUCAGAAUUAGUGAAUCAGUUUGAACGUUAAGGGGUUUGCAAAGUGUGUAGAGGAGAAGAGUACAGUCAAUUGGGUAAACCACAUGACCAUGAAAGAAUCUUUGACGGACAUGUUGAGCAUGCCUACUAACUUAUAUCCUCUAUUGAAUUUUGUUUGUAAAUGAAAUACCUAUUUUUAUUUAAGAAAUAGAUUUAAAUGUCUCAAAAGCAAUCUAAAACGUUAAUAAGUAUA